UGGAAUGGUCUUUCUGGAAUGAUGG
This 25-nucleotide non-coding RNA is filed under the name Mus musculus (house mouse). The record is from RNAcentral. Lineage: Eukaryota; Metazoa; Chordata; Mammalia; Rodentia; Muridae.